GACGAACGCUGGCGGCGUGCUUAACACAUGCAAGUCGAGCGGAAAGGCCCUUCGGGGUACUCGAGCGGCGAACGGGUGAGUAACACGUGAGCAACCUGCCCCAGGCUUUGGGAUAACCCCGGGAAACCGGGGCUAAUACCGAAUAUGACCUCCGAUCGCAUGGUCGGUGGUGGAAAGUUUUUCGGCUUGGGAUGGGCUCGCGGCCUAUCAGCUUGUUGGUGGGGUGAUGGCCUACCAAGGCGACGACGGGUAGCCGGCCUGAGAGGGCGACCGGCCACACUGGGACUGAGACACGGCCCAGACUCCUACGGGAGGCAGCAGUGGGGAAUAUUGCACAAUGGGCGGAAGCCUGAUGCAGCGACGCCGCGUGAGGGAUGACGGCCUUCGGGUUGUAAACCUCUUUCAGCAGGGACGAAGCGUAAGUGACGGUACCUGCAGAAGAAGCGCCGGCCAACUACGUGCCAGCAGCCGCGGUAAGACGUAGGGCGCGAGCGUUGUCCGGAUUUAUUGGGCGUAAAGAGCUCGUAGGCGGCUUGUCGCGUCGACCGUGAAAACCUGGGGCUCAACCCCAG
RNAcentral lists this ribosomal RNA (572 nucleotides) under uncultured Micromonospora sp. RNAcentral describes it as "bacterial SSU rRNA". It matches the Rfam family "Bacterial small subunit ribosomal RNA", at positions 28 to 618 of the family's 1533-position model. Lineage: Bacteria; Bacillati; Actinomycetota; Actinomycetes; Micromonosporales; Micromonosporaceae. The record is from RNAcentral.